Molecule: long non-coding RNA, 171 nt
Organism: Etheostoma cragini (Arkansas darter)
Lineage: Eukaryota; Metazoa; Chordata; Actinopteri; Perciformes; Percidae
Exons: 3
Source: RefSeq, a predicted model, not a curated record
CUUCUACAAUGGUUUAUUGGCAUCUGACUGGAGAAUUGCACCACCAACUGUUGACCUAAAUGAACCACCUCCCAGUAUUCAAACAAGUCCUCCUAACCAUAUGAUGAUAGAGGUUGUUUAUUCCUACCUUCUAAUACAACCCAUAGGAGCAUUAUAUUAAAUUAUCGCCCA